RNAcentral lists this ribosomal RNA (403 nucleotides) under uncultured bacterium. RNAcentral's name for it is "partial 16S ribosomal RNA". It matches the Rfam family "Bacterial small subunit ribosomal RNA", at positions 28 to 526 of the family's 1533-position model. The record is from RNAcentral.
GACGAACGCUGGCGGCGUGCCUAAUACAUGCAAGUCGAACGCAGUGGGGACGGUUGAGUAACACGUGGCUAACCUCCCAUCAGAGGGGAUAACACUUGGAAACAGGUGCUAAACCGAUAUUGAUGUAUGGAGCUGCUGUGCAUUAGCUAGUUGGUGAGGUAACGGCUCACCAAGGCCACGAUGCCUAGCCGACCUGAGAGGGUGAUCGGCCACACUGGGACUGAGACACGGCCCAGACUCCGACGGGAGGCAGCAGUAGGGAAUCUUGGGCAAUGGACGAAAGUCUGACCGAGCAACGCCGCGUGAGUGAAGAAGGUUUUCGGAUCGUAAAACUCUGUUGUUAGAGAAGCGGUAUCUAACCAGAAAGCCACGGCUAACUACGUGCCAGCAGCCGCGGUAAUUC